GAGACCAACCCAUGUCAGCCUCUGUCCAGACAAAUGAAUGUGAUCUGCUGAAAUCAGCACAGCCCCCCAGUGGGGAUCAGCACAGACUGCACACCUUCAGAUGACCUCCAAAAAAAGGUUAUCAUACAGAGGCAUCCAAGUAAGUGGGAAUCUACUAUCUCCAAAUAAGAAAGUUAAACAGAAGAAGUGGUUUUCCUUCACUCUCCAGAUAUUAGAACCAGAUCCUGUGACCCGAGUACAGCUAAACAGAUGUCCUACAUUUGAAUUUUGAAAGAGAGAAUGAAUGGUUCAGGAUCCAUUACCAUCGCUGUUGCCUUGGCCUGGGCUUUAUGAUCUGUGAAGAAUUCCUGCAGCGGUCCAGUACUCUCAGCGCCUGCUUCUCACGUCACUACCUUCCAAGAUGUAUUAGCACCCACUUUUUCAAACAUAAGUCUGCUCAUAUCCUUUAGUGGAAUUCUCAAUGUAAAAAAGGUCACCAGUUUCUGUGAAGCUCAACAAG
RNAcentral lists this long non-coding RNA (499 nucleotides) under Fukomys damarensis (Damara mole-rat). RNAcentral describes it as "lncRNA (ENSFDAG00000026325.1)". The record is from RNAcentral. Lineage: Eukaryota; Metazoa; Chordata; Mammalia; Rodentia; Bathyergidae.